ACUCGGGACCUCGAGUACCAACCACCAAGUCUUUUGCCACUUACGCUAGUGUUGUUAGAUACUUUUUGACAUGGAAAAACUAACUUAUGGUUUUAACUUUGCUUAAACUAAAAUAAUCAUAUAUAUCUAUAGAGCUAGACUGGUAUACUAUCGGUAGCACGGAGGCUUCCGUGCUACCAAGUUAUUUUCAAUGAUACGGCUUCCAAAUUGACGAUCGGCUCCGUUAGACUUGACCUACAUUAUUGAAAGCAUUUGAAAACUAAAUUUCAUAGUAUUUCGGCAUCAUUUACCUAUCAAACAAGUAGUGUAAAAAUGAAAGGCUGAAAAUAAAAAUUUUAUAAAAAAUGAUGAUAAAAGACUUGAAUUUAAUAUCAGAAGUACCGAUCUUACUCUAAAUAGUAAAAAAAAUUUUCUAUAAAAGUUUCAUCAGAUUUGGAUUAUUUUACACCGUUAAAUUCACAAAUGCAUCAAAUCUACCAUUAAAAUUGUCAAUUUUGAGACUUUUUGAUCACUAGCCAAAUGAUGCCGAAAAAUUAUGAAAUUUAGUUUCCAAAUACUUUUAAUAGUGUAGAUCAAGUCUAACGGAGCCGAUCGUCGAUUUGGAAGCCGCAUCAUUGAAAAUAACUUGAUAGCACGAAGGCCUCCGUGUUACCGAUAGUAUACCAACCUAGCUCUAUAUAUAUAU
Molecule: long non-coding RNA, 685 nt
Filed under: Ananas comosus (pineapple)
Lineage: Eukaryota; Viridiplantae; Streptophyta; Magnoliopsida; Poales; Bromeliaceae
Description: long non-coding RNA (ACOM_LNC009460)
Source: RNAcentral